Molecule: ribosomal RNA, 253 nt
Filed under: uncultured bacterium
Lineage: Bacteria
Description: partial 16S ribosomal RNA
Rfam family: Bacterial small subunit ribosomal RNA
Source: RNAcentral
AAUACUGACGCUGAGGCACGAAAGCUGGGGAGCAAACUAGGAUUAGAUACCCUGGUAGUCCACGCCUAAACGAUGAAUACUAGAUGUUUGGUACCUAGCGUACUGAGUGUCGUAGCGUAACGCGAUAAGUAUUCCGCCUGGGAAGUACGGCCGCAAGGUUAAAACUCAAAGGAAUUGACGGGGGCCCGCACAAGCGGUGGAGCAUGUGGUUUAAUUCGAUGCAACGCGAAGAACCUUAACCUGGGCUUGACAU